UUGGCAUCCCAAUACCAUAUUUUUGAAAUGAUGUGAUGAUGCCUUCUCAGCAAGGACAUUGUCAUAGAUAAAGAACUUGCUAAUUAGACGCCCCAUUCCCUCCUUCACAUUACCGCCAGCGAAAUAACUCCAAACACUCUUUUGGCGUGCUUUGGAUGAUUUAUAUAAACUUGGGGCCAUUGAUGGUGUUGGUUGUGAUUCCCUCACACUUGCUCCCCG
This 219-nucleotide long non-coding RNA is filed under the name Prunus persica (peach). Its description in RNAcentral is "long non-coding RNA (PPER_LNC004726)". Lineage: Eukaryota; Viridiplantae; Streptophyta; Magnoliopsida; Rosales; Rosaceae. The record is from RNAcentral.